CAGCAGCCGCGGUAAAACGUAGGUGGCAAGCGUUAUCCGGAAUUAUUGGGCGUAAAGCGCGCGUAGGCGGUUUUUUAAGUCUGAUGUGAAAGCCCACGGCUCAACCGUGGAGGGUCAUUGGAAACUGGAAAACUUGAGUGCAGAAGAGGAAAGUGGAAUUCCAUGUGUAGCGGUGAAAUGCGCAGAGAUAUGGAGGAACACCAGUGGCGAAGGCGACUUUCUGGUCUGUAACUGACGCUGAUGUGCGAAAGCGUGGGGAUCAAACAGGAUUAGAUACCCGAGUAGUCCCUGUCUCUUAUAC
This 301-nucleotide ribosomal RNA is filed under the name uncultured bacterium. RNAcentral describes it as "partial 16S ribosomal RNA". It matches the Rfam family "Bacterial small subunit ribosomal RNA", at positions 509 to 807 of the family's 1533-position model. The record is from RNAcentral.